CACACACACACACACGUAACACUUUAAGCAAUCGUUUUGCGCUCAGACAACGGACAGCGAAGCCGUAAGAAAACGACAUAUUCGCUGUGCAGGUAACAUUCAAAUUUAACCCGAGGAAAGUGGAAGUCCCUACUGCUCAAAUGACGUAAGUUACGGGAAGUUAGAGACUUUUUACUCUUAGGUCUGGUACAUAUUCAUCCGCCUAUAUGUUCUCUCACGUUCUCGCGCGCGCACACAUACACACACGCACACACACACACACAAACGCUCAUAAUAUAAACUCUCACGAAAUGGUUUUAUAGACAUUUAGACAAUCUUCAUUAUUUCAAAAUGGGACAUCUAAUGCGAUAUUUUAUCUUUAUUAAUAUAGUUUUGUCAUCUUACAUUAAAUACAACACUAUUGCGCAUCUAUAGUCAAAUUAUCUGAUAAAAUUUAUAAUUGUUAUGAAUUUAGCGUGUGGCAUGUUCAAUAAAGUACAAUUCUAUACAUUGUUCAGCCCGAUGCGUUGCAGUAGUUCUGGACAAACAGCAGAGGGAAGUACGACCCAACAUUUCAUAUAUUGCAGCACUCAAUAACUAUUGAAUUUACAAUAUUGGUUACAGGUUCAAACGUGGUUUGUCACCUGCCCCUAAAGUCGUGAGUUCGAAUCUCGACUUCCUCUGCGUUUACGUGGGGUUUCUCCGGUUACUCAUUUUUUUCUCAAUCCAAUGCAUCCUCGGUUGAGCGUCGAUUCCAUAACUUGUCUAUAAUUGUCUAUAUGUGCGGUGUGAUUGAUUACAACCAUUCCAGGGUGUGUCCAGUUACUUGCCCAACGUCAGAUGGGAAAGGCUCCAUCUCACCCGUGACAUUAGUGAGGACAACUGCUAUAGAAAAUAAAAGGCUUGGCUACAGUUUCGCCUAGAACAAGCAACUGAAUGACCAAACAGUACUCACCCCACACCCCAUUCCACUCCACAUUGAGUUGCAUAAAAACAUACAGUACAGGCACACAUUUUUUUUUUGUCAAAAACACAAUCUAGAUAAAGUAUGAUUAAACAUGAAGCAAUUUUUUUGCAUGUUGCCAUCACAGUUAUGUGACUGUGUACGCUUAAAACAACCAGCAGACAAUUGAGGCGAGGCGUUGGGUGGUUGUAAUCCUGUAGGGGUAGUAUCAGUUGGAUCUUCCAUUGAUGUACAUAAUUGGGUCCUUUUGACACAAUGGUACGAUCGCCCUAAUCACACAAAAGUUAUGGAAUAACACACACACACACACACACACACACACACACACACACACACACACACACACACACAUACACGUGCUUGUUUUAUCGUUUUCAUUAGCACACUGCAUGAGGUGGCAGACUGAGGCCUCAUUGUCUCCAUCAUUAACCAACACCUACGACCAGCACCUCCCCGCUCUCGCACUCACGCAGUUACCACAACAACAAGAAUACUGAGCAUUCUUUCUCCCGUUGCCCGGGUGACUUUAAUUAUGGUGUGUGGGAGGGCUUAUGGGAUGGCAAAAUUCCGGCAUGGCCAUAACGACGCGGGAUGAAGGCGUUCAGGGACACCCUAUGACGAACAAGAGCUUAGUUGUACAUACACACGCACACCACUCCCUGUCGCGUGUGUGUGAGUGCGUGUGUGUUUGUGUGUGUGUGGUGAGCAAGAUAUGAAGGAGAUCCAAACAGGGCCACUUGCACGCCAAUGCAACAGGAAAAAAUGGUGUUUAAAAGCCAGAAUGCAACAAUUGUUUCUUACACAGGCGUGUGUAAUACGGAGAAGAGGGUCUCCUUACAAUGGCAACCACCUAACUGUCUGAGAGGUCAAUAUUGUCGAUUGGUCUUGAGUGUUGCUGAUUUCUUUAUUCUAUGCUGUAAAA
Long non-coding RNA from Hippocampus comes (tiger tail seahorse), 1865 nucleotides. RefSeq lists it as uncharacterized. The transcript is spliced from 2 exons. NCBI's taxonomy places the organism in Eukaryota, Metazoa, Chordata, Actinopteri, Syngnathiformes, Syngnathidae. The record is from RefSeq and is a predicted model, not a curated record.